This 522-nucleotide ribosomal RNA is filed under the name uncultured Glomus. RNAcentral describes it as "SSU rRNA". It matches the Rfam family "Eukaryotic small subunit ribosomal RNA", at positions 569 to 1092 of the family's 1831-position model. The record is from RNAcentral. Lineage: Eukaryota; Fungi; Glomeromycota; Glomeromycetes; Glomerales; Glomeraceae.
AGCAGCCGCGGUAAUUCCAGCUCCAAUAGCGUAUAUUAAAGUUGUUGCAGUUAAAAAGCUCGUAGUUGAAUUUCGGGGUCAGUAGGUUGGUCAUGCCACAGGUAUGUACUGAUCUUACUGAUUCCUCCUUCCUGAUGAACCGUAAUGCCAUUAAUUUGGUGUUGCGGGGAAACUGGACUGUUACUUUGAAAAAAUUAGAGUGUUUAAAGCAGGCUAACGCUUGAAUACAUUAGCAUGGAAUAAUGAAAUAGGACGUUCGAUCCUAUUUUGUUGGUUUCUAGGAUUGACGUAAUGAUUAAUAGGGAUAGUUGGGGGCAUUAGUAUUCAAUUGUCAGAGGUGAAAUUCUUGGAUUUAUUGAAGACUAACUACUGCGAAAGCAUUCGCCAAGGAUGUUUUCAUUAAUCAAGAACGAAAGUUAGGGGAUCGAAGACGAUCAGAUACCGUCGUAGUCUUAACCAUAAACUAUGCCGACUAGGGAUCGGAUGAUGUUAAUUUUUUAAUGACUCAUUCGGCGCCUUACG